This 73-nucleotide transfer RNA is filed under the name Danio rerio (zebrafish). It matches the Rfam family "tRNA". Rfam says of the family: Transfer RNA (tRNA) molecules are approximately 80 nucleotides in length. Their secondary structure includes four short double-helical elements and three loops (D, anti-codon, and T loops). Lineage: Eukaryota; Metazoa; Chordata; Actinopteri; Cypriniformes; Danionidae. The record is from Rfam by way of RNAcentral.
GCCUGGCUAGCUCAGUCGGUAGAGCAUGAGACUCUUAAUGUCCGGGUCGCGGGUUCGAGCCCCACGUUGGGCA